RNAcentral lists this long non-coding RNA (583 nucleotides) under Mytilus galloprovincialis (Mediterranean mussel). Lineage: Eukaryota; Metazoa; Mollusca; Bivalvia; Mytilida; Mytilidae. The record is from RNAcentral.
AUACAAUCUACCGAACCGUCUCUUAGAUUUUUGAUAUAUGCCUCCAGUAAGAAGAUAUAUUGAUUUUACUGCUGGGUGCUAAACCUCAAUUCACCUUUCAUCUUUGGAGACCUAUAAACUCAUUUAGAAACAAAUUAUCCAAAAACUGGGACACGGUAUUGUAGAAAAUACACCCUUUAAACAUAUAUAUCAAAGUCAAGCCAAAGGGAGUACCCAUUAAGUUUCUGUUUUCAUUUUUUCCUUACAAUUCUCAUGAAAAAUUGUUCUGAGAAAUGACCUAAAAACUGAAUUUACCCCUUAGAACCCCUAUAAAGUCAAUAUAAAUACAAAAGUUCAACUGGGAACACCCCAGGAGUGUUCUGAUACCAUUACUAUAUCAAUAGAACCACACACUUUGUGUCUUUGAUGCUCUAAUGCUUUAAAUUUUGCAUUAUAUGUGAACUGUCCAACACUAACUUGGCAAUUGGCGGGAGUUUGACGACACAGAUUUGACCAACAUCUGUGAUGUAGUAAUUGAAUAUAGUCAAAGCUCCGCCUCUUUCCAGACAGUUUAUAAUAAGAGAAUAACAUGAUUGACCAGCUG